This 433-nucleotide ribosomal RNA is filed under the name uncultured bacterium. Its description in RNAcentral is "partial 16S ribosomal RNA". It matches the Rfam family "Bacterial small subunit ribosomal RNA", at positions 29 to 507 of the family's 1533-position model. The record is from RNAcentral.
AACGAACGCUGGCGGCAUGCCUAACACAUGCAAGUCGAACGAGACCUUCGUGUCUAGUGGCGCACGGGUGCGUAACGCGUGGGAACCUGCCCUUAGGUUCGGAAUAACUCCCCGAAAGGGGUGCUAAUACCGGAUAAUGUCUUCGGACCAAAGAUUUAUCGCCUUUGGAUGGGCCCGCGUUGGAUUAGCUAGUUGGUAGGGUAAAAGCCUACCAAGGCGACGAUCCAUAGCUGGUCUGAGAGGAUGAUCAGCCACACUGGGACUGAGACACGGCCCAGACUCCUACGGGAGGCAGCAGUGGGGAAUAUUGGAAAAUGGGCGAAAGCCUGAUCCAGCAAUGCCGCGUGAGUGAUGAAGGCCUUAGGGUUGUAAAGCUCUUUUACCCGGGAUGAUAAUGACAGUACCGGGAGAAUAAGCUCCGGCUAACUCCGUG